UAAAGAAAAUGGGUAUUGCACGGUGAGGGUUUGGCCGCGGCCGCGCGCCGGGUCCUACUCAAUAUUCAAUGAUCUCGCUUGCGCCUCCCCCACCUCUUCCCGCAAAAAUUCCAUCGAGUCCGUUACUGGACACAGACUUUUAAGUUCAUUUUCUGCCCCCACCCCCCGUUUGUCCACUCAUCUGAGCCUUUAGGGGCGGCCUCCCCCCACCAGCAGCUCCCUCCUAAAAUGACAUUUUGCCUGGGUCUGUGGAGGGGCCUGAAUUUCACUUUGUAACUUUCUGCGGAACCCGAGCCGGGUGGCAGCUCCGGUGGUGGUAUCGUAUGCAAAUACGCAUGCUGACGUUACAGAUCAUGUGGGUUUUGGCGUAGAUUCCCCACUGAUCGAGGCAUUUUCCCCCUUUUUUUUUUCUUUUUCCUUUUUUUUUUUUUUUUUUUUUUUUUUUUUUUUUUUCUUUUCUUUUUUUCUUUUAAAAUUUUCAGCCAGCCGUUCUCCGUACGGGGGCUUUUUCUGCCUGUCUGUCUGUCUGCCAGGCUGGCUUUCCCCACCACCACCUCUUUCCCACGGAGCCCGAAUCGGGCGCCGGGUGGGGAGUGGGGAGUGGGUGGGGGGGAGCCAGCAGAGUUCCAUUUUGGAACGCCCGUGCCUCGUCUCCGCGUUCCCAGCCCGGGUCCCCGCGUUCCCAGCCCCGGCGCAGGUCUCCAUGCACUUGGCUGCUCUAGGAAUCCUGCUGCAAGAUUCCCAGGAUGUAAGGGACGUACAGCAGACACUGAUAUGAAGCUGCCUGGUGUGCUCAGAGAUUGCUACAGUUACGAUUUCCUGGGCUGAAAUCCUUCUGCACACUCACAGAAGAAGAUCUCAGCAUUCAAGGGAAGCCAAAGGCAUUGGAGAGGGAAUAAAGCCAAAAGCUAAGAAUCUCACUGUCCCUGUCCCUACCCACUAAAAAAAGAAGAAGAAGAAGAAGAAGAAGAAG
This is a long non-coding RNA of Acomys russatus (golden spiny mouse), 973 nucleotides long. RefSeq lists it as uncharacterized. The record is from RefSeq and is a predicted model, not a curated record. NCBI's taxonomy places the organism in Eukaryota, Metazoa, Chordata, Mammalia, Rodentia, Muridae. The transcript is spliced from 3 exons.